GAUGAACGCUGGCGGCGUGCCUAAUACAUGCAAGUCGAGCGAACAGACGAGGAGCUUGCUCCUCUGACGUUAGCGGCGGACGGGUGAGUAACACGUGGGUAACCUACCUAUAAGACUGGGAUAACUUCGGGAAACCGGAGCUAAUACCGGAUAAUAUAUUGAACCGCAUGGUUCAAUAGUGAAAGACGGUUUUGCUGUGACUUAUAGAUGGAUCCGCGCCGCAUUAGCUAGUUGGUAAGGUAACGGCUUACCAAGGCAACGAUGCUUAGCCGACCUGAGAGGGUGAUCGGCCACACUGGAACUGAGACACGGUCCACACUCCUACGGUGGGCAGCAGUAGGGAAUCUUCCGCAAUGGGCGAAAGCCUGACGGAGCAACGCCGCGUGAGUGAUGAAGGUCUUCGGAUCGUAAAACUCUGUUAUUAGGGAAGAACAAAUGUGUAAGUAACUAUGCACGUCUUGACGGUACCUAAUCAGAAAGCCACGGCUAACUACGUG
RNAcentral lists this ribosomal RNA (497 nucleotides) under uncultured bacterium. RNAcentral's name for it is "partial 16S ribosomal RNA". It matches the Rfam family "Bacterial small subunit ribosomal RNA", at positions 28 to 507 of the family's 1533-position model. The record is from RNAcentral.